GUAUGAAUGGCAUGACGAGGGCUUAACUGUCUCCUUUCCCCAGUCAAUGAAAUUGAUCUCCCCGUGAAGAAGCGGGGAUACAACUAUAAGACGAGAAGACCCUGUGGAGCUUUAAACACUAGAGAAGCCCAUGUCAAGCACUCCAAAAUACUAAGAGUGAAACAAAAUGGACCCUCCACUAAUGUUUUUGGUUGGGGCGACCGCGGGGAAAUAAAAAACCCCCAUGUGGAGUGGGAAUACCCUUCCUACAACUCAGAGCAACCGCUCUAAUUAACGGAAUAUCCGACCAACAAUGAUCCGGCCAAGCCGAUCAACGGACCGAGUUACCCCAGGGAUAACAGCGCAAUCCCCUUUUAGAGACCUUAUCGCCAAGGGGGUUUACGACCUCGAUGUUGGAUCAGGACAUCCUAAUGGUGUAGCCGCUAUUAAGGGUUCGUUUGUUCAACGAUUAAAGUCCUA
RNAcentral lists this ribosomal RNA (459 nucleotides) under Zalieutes elater. RNAcentral's name for it is "partial 16S ribosomal RNA". It matches the Rfam family "Bacterial large subunit ribosomal RNA", at positions 1990 to 2598 of the family's 2925-position model. The record is from RNAcentral. Lineage: Eukaryota; Metazoa; Chordata; Actinopteri; Lophiiformes; Ogcocephalidae.